UACGUAGGGGGCAAGCGUUGUCCGGAUUUACUGGGCGUAAAGAGCGCGCAGGCGGUCGUUCAAGUCGAGUGUGAAAGCCCCCGGCUCAACUGGGGAGGGUCAUUCGAUACUGAUCGACUCGAAGGCAGGAGAGGGUAGUGGAAUUCCCGGUGUAGUGGUGAAAUGCGUAGAUAUUGGGAAGAACACCGAUGGCGAAGGCAGCCAUCUGGACCGACACUGACGCUGAGGCGCGAAAGCGUGGGGAGCAAACAGG
This 253-nucleotide ribosomal RNA is filed under the name uncultured bacterium. Its description in RNAcentral is "partial 16S ribosomal RNA". It matches the Rfam family "Bacterial small subunit ribosomal RNA", at positions 524 to 776 of the family's 1533-position model. The record is from RNAcentral.